UACAGAGGUCUCAAGCGUUGUUCGGAUUCAUUGGGCGUAAAGGGUGCGUAGGCGGCGCGGUAAGUCGGGGUGUGAAAUUUCGAGGCUUAACUUCGAAACUGCAUUCGAUACUGCCGUGCUUGAGGACUGGAGAGGAGACUGGAAUUUACGGUGUAGCGGUGAAAUGCGUAGAUAUCGUAAGGAAGACCAGUGGCGAAGGCGGGUCUCUGGACAGUUCCUGACGCUGAGGCACGAAGGCCAGGGAGCAAACGGG
Molecule: ribosomal RNA, 253 nt
Filed under: uncultured bacterium
Lineage: Bacteria
Description: partial 16S ribosomal RNA
Rfam family: Bacterial small subunit ribosomal RNA
Source: RNAcentral